AAAGGUUGACCUCGGAUCAGGUAGGAAUACCCGCUGAACUUAA
This 43-nucleotide ribosomal RNA is filed under the name Colletotrichum graminicola. RNAcentral's name for it is "partial 28S ribosomal RNA". RNAcentral also lists the same sequence under 2 other names. The record is from RNAcentral. Lineage: Eukaryota; Fungi; Ascomycota; Sordariomycetes; Glomerellales; Glomerellaceae.